Rosa chinensis is the source of this 438-nucleotide long non-coding RNA. RefSeq lists it as uncharacterized. Lineage: Eukaryota; Viridiplantae; Streptophyta; Magnoliopsida; Rosales; Rosaceae. The record is from RefSeq and is a predicted model, not a curated record. The transcript has 3 exons.
UGCAGUUAAAACUUACAAUGCUGAAAAGGGGAGGGUUAACAAAGUGCCUAAGUUAAAAUUACUUCCGGGCGCACCUAAGCAGCCGGGUGGAGUUGAGUGUGGCUAUUAUGUUAUGCGGUACAUGAAGGAUAUUAUUAAUGAUGACACGCUUUCGUUUUCAACCAAGUGGGCGGUAAAGGAUCGGAAAGGGUAUACCCAACAACAACUUGAUGAGGUCCGCAUUGAAGUAGCCAACUACUUACAGACUCUGCUGUAGGUUCUGACCAGUUUCUUGAUUUUGAGUUAGACUAGCUUUUAAUUAACUUUUUUUGUAGCAAUUAUGAACAAACAAGAAUACUAAUUGCUAGGCUAGCCUUGUAGUAUAUAGGUGCAUGAAUUGGGGUUUUAUUUUGCCCAUUUUGUAAAUUGUUAAGGAUGAUGACUGUCGGAUAUAAUACC